CCCAUGAUAAACCCCAAUAAAAAC
RNAcentral lists this non-coding RNA (24 nucleotides) under Cricetulus griseus (Chinese hamster). Lineage: Eukaryota; Metazoa; Chordata; Mammalia; Rodentia; Cricetidae. The record is from RNAcentral.